AGAAAACAAAGAAUUUGGGAAGACAAGUGGAAGGCUUAGCAGUGGUAUUCCUCAAGUCCCGCUGAAAAGGGGGGAGUCGGAAUAUGACUCCUUUAGGCAGUCAUUGCCAGUUUUUGAAAAGAAGGAGGAAAUUGUCAAAAUAAUAAAGGAAAAUAAAGUUGUUCUCAUUAUAGGAGAGACUGGAUCAGGAAAAACUACUCAAAUUCCUCAGUUCCUUCUUGAUGACUGCUAUGAAAAUGGAAUUCCUUGUCGUAUAUUCUGCACUCAGCCAAGGCGUUUGGCAGUUAUUGCUGUGGCUGAAAGAGUGGCAGCAGAAAGAAGAGAAAAGGUUGGCCAGACAGUUGGUUAUCAGAUCCGACUAGAAAGCAGGUACUAAUAACAUUUCUUUAAGGCAGCUGACUUGUGUUCACAUGUAUGUUAAAGCUACAGUGUUUUGGGGAUUACAACAUAGAAAAGAGUGCAGAAAUUGUGGGCAGGAUGUGUUGUUUCAGGCAAUUGAGUAUUUGCAAAAGAUAGAUUUCCUUCUACAGGUUGCAGUAUCAAGUAGUAAUCUUUCUUAAGUGAAUCAGAGGCAUAUUCAUUUGAUUUCUACUUGUAGGGAGAGAGAAAUCUCUUGUAGUGUUUUCAGAACAACUAUAUGUUUUCAUCUACUUUUUUCCGUCCAGUCAUAGAUUGGAAAGUUCCAUAAGCUUUGACAAUAUGUAAGAGAACUAGAGCACUUUAACAGAAACUUUAUGGUGAUAGUCUGUUGCAAAUAUAAAGGCAAAGGGUAUGUCUGGCUCUGUUGUUUAUAUGAAUGAAGAUAACACAUAGCUGAUGAAAGAAGAAUUCGAGUGUGUCUAUGAAAACUUAGAAGCAUACUAAGAGAUUUAAAGAGAUAGAGAAGGUUAAUUGCAAAUGAGGUGAAUGGUUAAUAUGUGGAAGUAUUAUAGUAGCUGAAUAUGAACAAGCUAUAGUCCAGAUCAAGAUGAAGAAAUACUGGAAGUAGUGUGGAACAUCUU
Non-coding RNA from Meleagris gallopavo (turkey), 1001 nucleotides. NCBI's taxonomy places the organism in Eukaryota, Metazoa, Chordata, Aves, Galliformes, Phasianidae. The record is from RefSeq and is a predicted model, not a curated record.